GGGGUUGUAGCUCAGUGGUAGAGCACUUACCUAGCAUAUGUGAGGCCCUGAGUUCAAUUCCCAGCACCA
This 69-nucleotide transfer RNA is filed under the name Ictidomys tridecemlineatus (thirteen-lined ground squirrel). Its description in RNAcentral is "Spermophilus tridecemlineatus (thirteen-lined ground squirrel) tRNA". It matches the Rfam family "tRNA". Rfam says of the family: Transfer RNA (tRNA) molecules are approximately 80 nucleotides in length. Their secondary structure includes four short double-helical elements and three loops (D, anti-codon, and T loops). Further hydrogen bonds mediate the characteristic L-shaped molecular structure. tRNAs have two regions of fundamental functional importance: the anti-codon, which is responsible for specific mRNA codon recognition, and the 3' end, to which the tRNAs corresponding amino acid is attached (by aminoacyl-tRNA synthetases). tRNAs cope with the degeneracy of the genetic code in two manners: having more than one tRNA (with a specific anti-codon) for a particular amino acid; and 'wobble' base-pairing, i.e. permitting non-standard base-pairing at the 3rd anti-codon position. RNAcentral also lists the same sequence under 1 other name. Lineage: Eukaryota; Metazoa; Chordata; Mammalia; Rodentia; Sciuridae. The record is from Rfam by way of RNAcentral.